GGACGAACGCUGGCGGCGUGCUUAACACAUGCAAGUCGAACGGAAAGGCCCUGCUUUUGUGGGGUGCUCGAGUGGCGAACGGGUGAGUAACACGUGAGUAACCUGCCCUUGACUUUGGGAUAACUUCAGGAAACUGGGGCUAAUACCGGAUAGGAGCUCCUGCUGCAUGGUGGGGGUUGGAAAGUUUCGGCGGUUGGGGAUGGACUCGCGGCUUAUCAGCUUGUUGGUGGGGUAGUGGCUUACCAAGGCUUUGACGGGUAGCCGGCCUGAGAGGGUGACCGGCCACAUUGGGACUGAGAUACGGCCCAGACUCCUACGGGAGGCAGCAGUGGGGAAUAUUGCACAAUGGGCGGAAGCCUGAUGCAGCAACGCCGCGUGCGGGAUGACGGCCUUCGGGUUGUAAACCGCUUUCGCCUGUGACGAAGCGUGAGUGACGGUAAUAGGUAAAGAAGCACCGGCUAACUACGUG
This 469-nucleotide ribosomal RNA is filed under the name uncultured bacterium. RNAcentral describes it as "partial 16S ribosomal RNA". It matches the Rfam family "Bacterial small subunit ribosomal RNA", at positions 27 to 507 of the family's 1533-position model. The record is from RNAcentral.